AGAGCGAACGCUGGCGGCAUGCUUAACACAUGCAAGUCGCACGAACGGUUUCGGCCGUUAGUGGCGGACGGGUGAGUAUCGCGUAGGAAUCUAUCCAUGGGUGGGGGACAACUCCGGGAAACUGGAGCUAAUACCGCAUGAUGCCUGAGGGCCAAAGGUUGCAAGACCGCCUGUGGAGGAGCCUGCGUUCGAUUAGCUUGUUGGUGGGGUAAUGGCCUACCAAGGCGAUGAUCGAUAGCUGGUCUGAGAGGAUGAUCAGCCACACUGGGACUGAGACACGGCCCAGACUCCUACGGAGGCAGCAGUGGGGAAUAUUGGACAAUGGGCGCAAGCCUGAUCCAGCAAUGCCGCGUGUGUGAAGAAGGUCUUAGGAUUGUAAAGCACUUUCGACGGGACGAUGAUGACGGUACCCGUAGAAGAAGCCCGGCUAACUUCGUGCCAGCAGCCGC
Molecule: ribosomal RNA, 449 nt
Filed under: uncultured bacterium
Lineage: Bacteria
Description: SSU rRNA
Rfam family: Bacterial small subunit ribosomal RNA
Source: RNAcentral